AAAACUUGUAACUUUAAGUUUUUUCAUAACAUUUGACCAUUCGUCUUAUUCAAAAAAAUUAUGAAAUUAUUAUGUAUUUUGUUUGUGACUUAUUUUACUAUCAAAAGUACUUUAAGUAUGACUUAACGUUUUCUAUAUUUACACUAAUUUUUCAAAUAAGACGAAUGGUCAAACGUUACAAACAAAAAGUCAAAGCGACCACUAAU
This 206-nucleotide microRNA precursor is filed under the name Oryza meridionalis. RNAcentral's name for it is "MIR812 microRNA precursor family". It matches the Rfam family "MIR812 microRNA precursor family". Lineage: Eukaryota; Viridiplantae; Streptophyta; Magnoliopsida; Poales; Poaceae. The record is from Rfam by way of RNAcentral.